AGAGUUUGAUCAUGGCUCAGGAUGAACGCUGGCGGCGUGCCCAACACAUGCAAGUCGAGCGAGAACUUUGAGAAAGAAGCUUCGGUAGAUUUUUCAAAGGGAAAGCGGCGGACGGGUGAGUAACGCGUAGGCAACCUGCCCCAAACAAAGGGAUAGCAACGGGAAACUGUUAUUAAAACCUUAUGAAGUAAAGAUGCUGCAUGACAUUUUUACCAAAGAUUUAUCGGUAUGGGAUGGGCCUGCGUCUGAUUAGUUAGUUGGUGAGGUAACGGCUCACCAAGGCAACGAUCAGUAGCCGACCUGAGAGGGUGAUCGGCCACAUUGGAACUGAGACACGGUCCAAACUCCUACGGGAGGCAGCAGUGGGGAAUAUUGCACAAUGGGCGAAAGCCUGAUGCAGCAACGCCGCGUGAACGAAGAAGGCCCUUGGGUCGUAAAGUUCUGUCCAAAGGGAAGAUAAUGACGGUACCUUUGGAGGAAGCCCCGGCUAACUACGUGCCAGCAGCCGCGGU
RNAcentral lists this ribosomal RNA (512 nucleotides) under Eubacterium sp. oral clone 23-90. RNAcentral's name for it is "bacterial SSU rRNA". It matches the Rfam family "Bacterial small subunit ribosomal RNA", at positions 8 to 521 of the family's 1533-position model. The record is from RNAcentral. Lineage: Bacteria; Bacillati; Bacillota; Clostridia; Eubacteriales; Eubacteriaceae.